This 95-nucleotide ribosomal RNA is filed under the name uncultured bacterium. Its description in RNAcentral is "partial 16S ribosomal RNA". It matches the Rfam family "Archaeal small subunit ribosomal RNA", at positions 1333 to 1428 of the family's 1478-position model. The record is from RNAcentral.
CUCCUUGCACACACCGCCCGUCGCCUCACCGAAGCUGGUUCUUGGCGAGGUGGCGCCUAAUUGGCGCUAUCGAACCUGGGGUCAGCAACGGGGAG